Molecule: ribosomal RNA, 301 nt
Filed under: uncultured bacterium
Lineage: Bacteria
Description: partial 16S ribosomal RNA
Rfam family: Bacterial small subunit ribosomal RNA
Source: RNAcentral
CAGCCGCCGCGGUAAUACGUAGGGUGCGAGCGUUAAUCGGAAUUACUGGGCGUAAAGCGUGCGCAGGCGGUUUUGUAAGACAGGCGUGAAAUCCCCGGGCUCAACCUGGGAAUGGCGCUUGUGACUGCAAAGCUAGAGUGCGGCAGAGGGGAUGGAAUUCCGCGUGUAGCAGUGAAAUGCGUAGAUAUGCGGAGGAACACCGAUGGCGAAGGCAAUCCCCUGGGCCUGCACUGACGCUCAUGCACGAAAGCGUGGGGAGCAAACAGGAUUAGAUACCCCGGUAGUCCCUGUCUCUUAUACC